UGGCAGAGGCCACUGCUAUCGGGGUUUGACUAAGCCAUGCGAGUCGAGAGGUGUAAGACCUCGGCGUACUGCUCAGUAACACGUGGACAAUCUGCCCUGAAGUGGAGGAUAAUCCCGGGAAACUGGGGGUAAUACUCCAUAGUUCGUGCUGACUGGAAUGUUAUGCGAACGAAAGAUCCGUCGCUUCAGGAUGAGUCUGCGGCCGAUUAGGUAGUUGUUGGGGUAACGGCCCAACAAGCCUGUCAUCGGUACGGGUUGUGGGAGCAAGAGCCCGGAGAUGGAUUCUGAGACACGAAUCCAGGCCCUACGGGGCGCAGCAGGCGCGAAAACUUUACCAUGCGGGCAACCGUGAUAAGGAAACCCCGAGUGCCAGCACAGGCUGGCUGUCCGCCAGUGUAAAUAACUGGUGAAGAAAGGGCCGGGCAAGACCGGUGCCAGCCGCCGCGGUAAUACCGGCGGCUCGAGUGGUGGCCACUAUUACUGGGCUUAAAGGGUCCGUAGCUUGAUAUGCAAGUCUCUUGAGAAAUCCGCCAGCUUAACUGGUGGGCGUUCAGGGGAAACUGCAUUUCUAGGGACCGGGAGAGGUGAGAGGUACUGCCGGGGUAGGAGUGAAAUCCUGUAAUCCCGGUGGGACCACUUAUGGCGAAGGCAUCUCACCAGAGCGGGUCCGACAGUGAGGGACGAAAGCUGGGGAGCAAACCGGAUUAGAUACCCGGGUAGUCCCAGCUGUAAACGAUGCGCGUUAGGUGUGUCAGUGACCACGUGUCACUGAGGUGCCGAAGGGAAACCGUGAAACGCGCCGCCUGGGGAGUACGGUCGCAAGGCUGAAACUUAA
This 835-nucleotide ribosomal RNA is filed under the name uncultured archaeon. RNAcentral's name for it is "bacterial SSU rRNA". It matches the Rfam family "Archaeal small subunit ribosomal RNA", at positions 15 to 859 of the family's 1478-position model. The record is from RNAcentral.